Molecule: RNA transcript, 2074 nt
Organism: Astyanax mexicanus (Mexican tetra)
Lineage: Eukaryota; Metazoa; Chordata; Actinopteri; Characiformes; Acestrorhamphidae
Gene name: zinc finger protein 239
Exons: 2
Source: RefSeq, a predicted model, not a curated record
AGGCUUAAUAAUGAAAUGUAUUUUAAAGUUAUUUUGUGUGCACAUUCAUACAUGUAAUUUCCUGGGCAAAGAAAUGGCACCCAUUCACUUCUCACACUUUUGUUUAGUUCAGCCAACAGAAUUAACCCAGUGGUUUUCAGUGCCGCUGUUUUAUCAGGUGUAACUCUCCUACAGUCCAGGGGGAGGCGCAGUUCUCUGUGUGGUUCUCAAACAGCAGUAAAACAUAAGAGAAGAAGAGCCCGUUCUGAUCCGUCACGGUUUUCUCCAGAUCAUAUAAAUUAUUCCUGAUAUUUCUCCAGAUCCAGCUCCUCUCCCCCCGGUUCCCCGAGAGCUGCUCUCCGUACCGAGCUGCUCUAAACCCGGCUCCGCGCUUCUACAGAGCCGCUGGAGGAAGAGGAGCAGGAGCUGCUGAAGUGACAGUGACGCCCUCUUCCAUGUCUACACCAUCUCCUAGAGUCUGUCACACUUUAAAUGUAUCUCUAAAAGCAUUUCAGAAAGCACCACAAAGAGGAAUAUCACACCCUGUUUCAACAGUAUGGAUUUCAGUGAUCUGGAAUUCAGUGGUUUGGAACUCUCCACUGUUGAGCAGGCAUCCCCAGGUGCUUCUUGCUCCAACGUAUCUCACCGUCGUUUGCCGAAAAGUACCAUAAAGAAGAGAUCUCACCACUGCUUAGAGUGCGGGAAGAGUUUUACCCAACGAUGUCACCUGAGACUACACCAGCACAUUCAUACUGGGGAGAAGCCCUACCAGUGUCCAGACUGUGGGAAGAGCUUUAAUCACCCAAGUAGUUUCCAGAUUCACCAGCGGACUCAUACUGGUGAGAAACCGUUCAACUGCUCAGACUGCGGGAAGAGUUUUAAUCAACAAAGUCAUCUUCAGGUCCACCAGCGCGUUCACACUGGAGAGAAACCAUAUCAGUGCUCCGAAUGCGGGACCUGUUUUAGUCGCCAGAAUAGCCUCCAACGUCACCAGCUUAUUCACAAAGGAGAAAAACCCUAUGACUGUUUAGAGUGUGGGCGGAGCUUUAGGAACAAAGGUACACUCCAGUCUCACCAGCGCACUCACACAGGUGAGAAACCCUAUCAGUGCUCAGACUGUGGGCGGAGCUUCAAUCAGAAGAGCAAUCUUCAAACCCACCAGCGCACCCACAGUGGAGAGAAGCCAUACGAGUGUCCGGAGUGUGGGAUCGGUUUUGGUGACAAAUGUACCCUCAUAAGACACCAGCAAAUUCAUACUGGAGAGAAACCGUAUUUCUGCUCAGAGUGUGGGUGGAGCUUCAGACAUUUGAGUACUUUAAAAUCACAUAAAUGUAUUAAGAUCACUCGUGGUGUUUCUGAAAGCAGUGGAGCAGAGUGUUAUUAUUUUUAGGAAUUAAAUGCAAUGUCCUUCUAGAGAUUUAGAACAUUCUGCAGUGGCGGUUUCUUCAUUAGGGUGAUCAGGCACCGCACCACCACAGGGAGAGAAGGAGGAAAAAAGUUUCUAGCACAUUAAAUCAGUGUUAAACUAGCGUGUGAUUGUUCUAGUCAGCCAUUCCUGCCUCUGAAUGUCAUACACCAAUCAGUGUUAACUUUCUUUUUUCAGAGUUUCAGGCUCUGCAAGGCAAUCUCAAUGGGUUCUGGGAUGGCUUGCCCUAGCAUGCUUGCGUCACUAUCAACCUGGGGUUUUUCCACUGCUGAGGGUUUAGAGACAGUUAAUUAUGAGACUGUUGCUGCUGUUAGAAGUCCAGUUCUGAUCUCACAGUUAGCCUGUUAGCAUAAACUGGCUUCCUGACCUCUGUCCCUACAGUGGCACAGCAGCGCAAACAUGUCGUCUACCAGCCCAAUUCUAAAUGCACUAGCCAUGCUUUCUGUGGACAGGGAACUAGUCAGAGGGGGAUUAAUCACUUUACUGAUUAAAAAAACGUCAGAUGAGACAGUGAGUGGUGUAGUUUCUUAUUUGUACUUGCACUUAUUGUAUCUCCCCAACUGUUUAAUUGUACAUCUUUUGUUUGUUGCACAUCACACCAAUCUAUAUUUUGUGUCUGCUGCCCCUAAAAUUAAACACUGUCUGAUGAAGACUGAAUUUAAUAGUUAA